This is an RNA transcript of Gastrolobium bilobum, 3417 nucleotides long. It is a transcript of the gene named poly [ADP-ribose] polymerase 1, with no coding region annotated. Lineage: Eukaryota; Viridiplantae; Streptophyta; Magnoliopsida; Fabales; Fabaceae. The transcript is spliced from 21 exons. The record is from RefSeq and is a predicted model, not a curated record.
AGGUAAGAGUGUCACUGUGUUGCUGUGAGUGUGAGAGAAUGGCGAACCCUCAAAAUCAAAAAGCAUGGAAAGUGGAGUACGCGAAGUCAGGGCGAUCGUCGUGCAGGACCUGCAAGAGCCCCAUUGCCAGCGAGAAUCUCCGUCUCGGCAAGAUGGUUCAGUCCACCAAAUUCGAUGGCCUCAUGCCGAUGUGGAAUCAUGCUGAUUGCAUAUUGAAGAAAGCCAACCAGAUAAAAUCAAUUGACGAUGUUGAAAACUUAGAGUUGCUUCGUUGGGAAGAUCAGCAGAAGAUCAGAAAAUACAUAGAGAGUGGUGGCCCACCGAAGUCAAAUGCCAUCAAAGAUACUGAAUAUGGUAUUGAAGUUUCACAAACUUCUCGUGCUACUUGCAGGCAUUGUGGUCAAAAAAUUAUUAAAGGAGAGGUUCGCAUUUCUACUAAGCCUGAUGGUCAAGGUGCUAAAGGUUUAGCUUGGCACCAUGCCAAGUGUCUCAUGGAACUAUCACCAUUAAUUCAAGUGGAUAAGUUGUCUGGAUGGAAUAAUCUCUCAUCUGCUGAUCAAUCAGCUGUCAGUGACUUGGCUAAGAAGGGUCCUCCUAUGAAUAAGGGAGGUGGUAGUGGUACAAACGUUGAGGAUGAAGAGGUUAAAAAAUCCGCGCAACAAUCCACUUCCAAAGGUGGCACAAAACGGGGAAAGGAUGCCAAUGGUGAGCAGAAGUCAAAAGUUGCUAAGGCCAAAGGAGAUGUGUCUGCAGGCAGGGCAGCAUCAGUGAAAAAUGCUAAUGGCUCAGAGGAAGCAUGUGAUCUGGAGAAUAAACUGGAGGCCCAGAGCAAAGAACUCUGGGGUCUGAAAGAUGAUCUUAAAAAUCAUGUGACAACAGCAGAGCUGCGCGAAAUGCUGGAAGCCAAUGCUCAAGAUUCAACAGGACCAGAACUUGGUUUGCGUGAUCGCUGUGCUGAUGGAAUGAUGUUUGGAACACUUGGUCAUUGCCCAAUAUGUUCUGGUUUUCUGCAUUAUUCUGGAGGAAUGUACCGGUGCAAUGGAUUCGUUUCUGAGUGGAGUAGAUGUUCCUACUCUACCUGCGAACCAAAACGUCUUGAAGGGAAGUGGAAAAUUCCAGAGGAAACAAAUAAUCAGUACCUUAAAAAGUGGUUCAAAUCUCAAAAAGGGAAGAAACCAGUUAGGAUAUUGCCUCUGCCAUCAUCAAGGAAUUCUGCUGAACGUCAAAUUACUGCUCGCCAGCAUCAAUCUGCAUACGGUGAAAGUUUGGGAGAUUUGAAAGUUUCUAUCUGUGGAUUACCUAAAGACUCAAUUGAGGAAUGGAAACGCAAAAUUGAUGGUGUAGGUGGGGUGCUUCAUGCAAAAGUGAAGAAAGAUACCAACUGCUUGGUAGUCAGUGGAACACUCAAUGAUGAAGCUGAGAUGCGGAAGGCAAGGAGGAUGAAAAUACCAAUAGUCAGAGAGGACUAUUUGGUUGACUGUAUAGAAAGAAAGAAGAAGCUUCCAUUUGAUAUGUACAAAGUUGAAAUGAUUGGUGAGGCUUCUAGCAUGGUCACCAUCAAAGUGAAGGGGCACAGUGCUGUUCAUGAGGCCUCUGGCCUCCAGGAUUCUGGCCACAUACUCGAGGAAGGGAAAAACAUAUAUAAUACAACUUUGAAUAUGUCUGAUUUGUCUACUGGUGUUAACAGCUACUAUAUUCUCCAAAUAAUCCAAGAAGAUAAGGGGUCAGGUUGCUUUGUGUUUCGUAAAUGGGGUCGAGUGGGAAAUGACAAGAUUGGAGGAGACAAACUGGAAGAAAUGCCGAAAUCUGAUGCAAUCUGUGAAUUCAAACGAUUAUUCUUAGAGAAGACUGGAAACCCUUGGGAGGCAUGGGAACAAAAGACUAUUCAGAAGCAACCUGGAAGAUUCUUCCCAUUGGAUAUUGAUUAUGGAGUUAACAAACAGGUCUCAAAGAAAAAUAAAAACAAUGCAGACAGCAAACUACCCCCUCCAUUAAUAGAAUUGAUGAAGAUUCUCUUCAAUGUGGAAACAUACAGAGCUGCCAUGAUGGAAUUUGAGAUUAAUAUGUCUGAAAUGCCACUUGGGAAACUGAGCAAAAGUAAUAUCCAAAAGGGGUUUGAAGCGUUAACAGAUAUACAGAAUCUGUUAAAAUUUAAUGACCCUGAUCCAUCAGUCAGGGAAAGCUUGCUUAUUGAUGCCAGCAAUCGGUUCUUCACAGUGAUCCCUUCUAUUCAUCCACAUAUUAUUAGGGAUGAGAAUGAUUUUAAAUCAAAGGUUAAAAUGUUAGAAGCCCUUCAAGACAUUGAAAUAGCCUCAAGAUUAGUUGGGUUUGAUGCUAAUAGUGAUGACUCCAUUGAUGAUAAUUAUAAGAAGCUCCACUGUGAUAUAUCUCCACUUCCUCAUGAUAGUGAAGAUUAUCGUUUAAUUGAGAAGUUUCUCCAUACUACUCAUGCCCCCACACAUAUGGAUUGGAGUCUUGAGCUAGAAGAAGUUUUUUCCCUUGAAAGGGAAGGAGAAUUUGAUAAAUUUGUUCAUUACAGGGAGAAACUUGGUAACAGAAUGCUCCUAUGGCAUGGUUCUAGGUUGACAAAUUUUGUGGGUAUUCUUAGCCAAGGACUCAGAAUCGCACCUCCUGAAGCCCCAGCUACUGGCUAUAUGUUUGGCAAAGGUAUUUACUUUGCUGACCUGGUCAGCAAGAGUGCUCAGUAUUGCUACACUGAGAAGAAAAACCCUGUUGGUCUAAUGCUUUUGAGUGAAGUUGCCCUUGGAAAUGUCUAUGAGCUCAAGAAAGCCAAGUAUAUGGAUAAACCUCCUCAAGGAAAGCACUCUACUAAAGGACUGGGCAAGAAAGUGCCUCAUGAAUCAGAAUACGUAAAGUGGAGGGGUGAUGUCACUGUUCCUUGUGGCAAACCAGUGCCAUCAAAUGUCAAGACUUCUGAGCUCAUGUACAAUGAGUAUAUUGUUUAUGAUACUGCUCAAAUUAAAAUGCAAUUCUUGUUGAAGGUGAGGUUCCAUCACAAGAGAUGAGGAUUGGAAGUGAACUGGAAGUCUGCUGUUUUGGGUAUUAUCUGCGCUAAGCAGUUUUUGACCGGGACCUGUACAUUGUGCAUCUGGGAUUCUCUAGAAUUGUCUUGAAGAGCUGCUUUCCAUCCUGAGUGAAGGGGAGGGUACCCAGAAGAUGACGUUCUUGGGUUAUUUGUCUGAGGUAAAUAUAGUGAUCUUAAUUUUUGUUUUCUUUAACAAUAUUCAGAAAAAAGAACCCUGAGUGCAGAAAAAUUUGCAUUUAGCUAGACUGGUGGUAAGGCCAAAAAUAAAAUAGUGAAUAAAUAAAAGCUUCCCUGGUUUUGGGGCUGUGGAUGUCAUGGAACUUCUUUUGUUGCAAAAGAUAUUACGUGUUUUGCAUGUGGGUCAUGUGAAA